Molecule: ribosomal RNA, 523 nt
Filed under: Fusarium oxysporum
Lineage: Eukaryota; Fungi; Ascomycota; Sordariomycetes; Hypocreales; Nectriaceae
Description: eukaryotic LSU rRNA
Rfam family: 5.8S ribosomal RNA (bases 172-325)
Source: RNAcentral
GCCACACAAGGGUCAUUACCGAGUUUACACUCCCAACCCCUACACUGUCUGAACAUACCACUUGUUGCCUCGGCGGAUCAGCCCGCUCCCGGUAAAACGGGACGGCCCGCCAGAGGACCCCUAAACUCUGUUUCUAUAUGUAACUUCUGAGUAAAACCAUAAAUAAAUCAAAACUUUCAACAACGGAUCUCUUGGUUCUGGCAUCGAUGAAGAACGCAGCAAAAUGCGAUAAGUAAUGUGAAUUGCAGAAUUCAGUGAAUCAUCGAAUCUUUGAACGCACAUUGCGCCCGCCAGUAUUCUGGCGGGCAUGCCUGUUCGAGCGUCAUUUCAACCCUCAAGCACAGCUUGGUGUUGGGACUCGCGUUAAUUCGCGUUCCUCAAAUUGAUUGGCGGUCACGUCGAGCUUCCAUAGCGUAGUAGUAAAACCCUCGUUACUGGUAAUCGUCGCGGCCACGCCGUUAAACCCCAACUUCUGAAUGUUGACCUCGGAUCAGGUAGGAAUACCCGCUGAACUUAAGCAUAU